This 100-nucleotide small nucleolar RNA is filed under the name Urocitellus parryii (Arctic ground squirrel). Its description in RNAcentral is "Small nucleolar RNA SNORA9 (ENSUPAG00010009954.1)". Lineage: Eukaryota; Metazoa; Chordata; Mammalia; Rodentia; Sciuridae. The record is from RNAcentral.
CCGCAGCGGGUUCCCGCAGCGCUGACCAGAGCAGUGCUGAGGUGGUUUGAGGCCUCGGCCUGCUUCGUCCAGAGCAAGGUCAUGGAAGUUUCAGACAAUU